Molecule: ribosomal RNA, 461 nt
Filed under: uncultured bacterium
Lineage: Bacteria
Description: partial 16S ribosomal RNA
Rfam family: Bacterial small subunit ribosomal RNA
Source: RNAcentral
CCUACGGUGAGCAGCCGUGAGGAAUAUUGGUCAAUGGCCGGGAGGCUGAACCAGCCAAGUCGCGUGAGGGAAGACGGCCCUACGGGUUGUAAACCUCUUUUGUCAGGGAGCAAGGUGAAGGUCGGGACCUGCUGUGAGAGUACCUGGAGAAAAAGCAUCGGCUAACUCCGUGCCCGCAGCCGCGGUAAUACGGAGGAUGCGUGCGUUAUCCGGAUUUAUUGGGUUUAAAGGGUGCGUAGGCUUUGUGGGAAGUCAGCGGUGAAAUGACCCCGCUCAACGGGGUGAAGUGCCAUUGAUACUGCCUUGCUGGAAGGCGGAUGCCUUGGGAGGAAUGUGUGGUGUAGCGGUGAAAUGCAUAGAUAUCACACAGAACACCGAUUGCGAAGGCAUCUCACGAAUCCGCGAUUGACGCUGAUGCACGAAAGCGUGGGUAUCAAACAGGAUUAGAGACCCUGGUAGUC